UGGGGUAUGGGGUAAUUGGCAGCCCAGCGGUUUCUGGAUCCGCUUGUCUAGGUUCGAGUCCUAGUACCCCAGCAA
RNAcentral lists this transfer RNA (75 nucleotides) under Actinomycetota bacterium. Its description in RNAcentral is "Actinobacteria bacterium tRNA-Gln". It matches the Rfam family "tRNA". From Rfam's summary of the family: Transfer RNA (tRNA) molecules are approximately 80 nucleotides in length. Their secondary structure includes four short double-helical elements and three loops (D, anti-codon, and T loops). The record is from RNAcentral. Lineage: Bacteria; Bacillati; Actinomycetota.